Molecule: long non-coding RNA, 1028 nt
Filed under: Chrysolophus pictus (golden pheasant)
Lineage: Eukaryota; Metazoa; Chordata; Aves; Galliformes; Phasianidae
Description: lncRNA (ENSCPIG00010002013.1)
Source: RNAcentral
UUUCAUUGUCUUUUACGCUCGUUUUAGAAAGCUGCCACGGGUUUGCACGCUAGUUAGGCUUUUUUAAAGCUCACCAUACGCAGCUGUUUUAGCCUAUGGCCACAUAUGGCAUGCGAGUAGGGACCCCUAUAGGAGAGUCGUCCUCCCGUUACCCCCACAUGUUCUCUCAAUGUACGCAGCCAGGAAAUCACCUCUAUGCUAUGCAUUAAAAUAUACAUCUAUAUUUUUCCUUCCCGAAUCCUUCGGGCAACUCAGGGUCCGCGUAUCCUCUGCACGGCACCCAUCGGUCGGAGCCACACGGCGCGGAUGGAGGCUCCGCUCUCAUUGUUCUGCACACACGGCCGCUCCCGGCCUCGCUGUACCACACUGGGAUCUACUGGGGCUUUCUGGCUCGGCUGCGUUCCAUGGCGUUAUAUUUUCCUUUCCUUUUACUGUUUUGGUUUUGCAUCUCUACGCCUUGCCCGAAUCCGGGUGCCGGUGGGCGCGAUGGGAAGCGGAGCGCAGCAUUACCGAAUCACAAAGGAAAUGUUCUUUUUCCUUUCGCGAUUACACACAGACACAGCAGAGCGUUGCCGAAUCUCAGAGGGCUUUGUUUUAUUUCAUAUUAUUUUGCUGGAACAAAUAAAUGGAAGCACGUGUUUUAAUUAUUUUCUUUCUUUCUUUCUUUCUUUCUUUCUUUCUUUCUUUCUUUUUCUUUCUUUCUUUCUUUCUUUUUUUUUUUUUAAAAAAAGAUCACGCGAGCGGAUUUUAAAUUUUUAUUCUUUUUUUUCUCCUGGAAAGGGAAUUUUUUACCCGGAGAAUGUGACCCUGCAGCCGGAGGGGCUGCCGUUAUCUCUGUUUCUGCAGACGGCUCCAAACCCUCUCCCACCGCCCCGCCCUGGCAGCAGUAGUGGCUGCGGCGCACAGCGGGCGGGGGCUCGGGUCGCCUUACGGAGGUAUUGCUGGUAUCUUCUCGGGAGGCGGCGAGCAGAGAGAUUGACACGAAAUGUACAGAACAAUAAAGUAAAAAGUUUGGGAAAGUAAGCUUG